Astatotilapia calliptera (eastern happy) is the source of this 2341-nucleotide long non-coding RNA. NCBI's taxonomy places the organism in Eukaryota, Metazoa, Chordata, Actinopteri, Cichliformes, Cichlidae. The record is from Ensembl.
UGAAUUGGCAAGCACAAUCAUUGAAAUAUCUAGGAGUUGUUAUUCCCAAGGAUUUAACUAAACUAUUUGAGGAGAAUUUUGGUUCUCUACAAAGGAGAAUAGUGGGUGAUAUUAGGCGAUGGAACAUGAUCCCCUUUCUUUCUUUACACUCACGAGUUGAAUCUAUUAAAAUGAAUAUCUUGCCAAGAAUAUUAUAUUUAUUCCAAACACUACCAAUAUUCAUUGAUCCAAGUCGUUUCAAUGAAUGGGAUAAAAUAAUAUCGCGGUUUAUAUGGGGGGGGGAAGCGGCCGAGGGGUUUGUUUUAAAACUUUACAAUUACAUAAGAAGGUGGGAGGAUGGGGGUUGCCAUCACUAAAAAAUUAUUAUCGGGCUGCUCAGUUGAAAACGGUGGUUAAUUGGUGUGAUACAAGCUACCAAGCACACUGGAAGACUAUAGAGGAGAAUAUAUUUUCCUCCCCAAUACAAGCUGUCCUGAUGGACUCGAAUAUUCGAAAAUAUAUUGACAAGAUUCAUAACCCCUGGGUGUCGUGCACACUUAAUAUAUGGAGAAAAGUUGUGAAAGAAUUCAAACUUGAACAGGAUUUGGCUUUAUUCAAAUGGUAUGCAUAUGAUUCUGACUUUACCCCGAAUAAAUUGGACUCACGUUUUAAAAGCUGGCCUGCUAAAGGGUUAUCUACAUAUGAUAGUUUGAUAAAGGAUGGGAACCUUAUUAGUUUUGACAUGCUGAAACAGAGACACAAUCUAGAAAAACAGGAUUUUUUUCGAUACUUGCAAAUAAGACACUAUAUAAAGACAACAAUCGGUCAGAUGUCAAAUACUAACGUGGAAUUGGUAACUUUAUUUAGACAGGCGUACAGUGGGGAUGUUGACACAAGACUAAUUUUUUUUUUGGUACAAUUUUUUUAUGAAUAAGCUUCCACACUCAACUGAUUAUGUGAAGAUGUUAUGGGAAAAGGAGGGAGGGAUGUGUAUUUCUAGGGAAGAAUGGACUCAGAUGUGGGAAUGGCAAUGGAGGAGUACUUCCUCCAAAAGCUGGAGGGAGUUCGGAUGGAAAACUCUGAUAAGGUUCUUUAUCACUCCAUGUCAAAAGGCUCACUAUGAUGGGAAUCCUCCCGUGUGCUGGCGAAACUGUGGAUACCAAGGAGCCCAUCACACCCAUAUUAUGUGGGACUGUCCGGUGCUACGGACUUACUGGAAAGACAUUCAUGGUAUAUUACAAGGCAUUUUUAACUGUACAUUCCCUCAGGAUAUGAAGACAAUUUUUUUUGGCUGUAUACCGCAGAACUGGUCCAAAAGUGACAUAUGUCUGUUACGAGCUUUAUUGGUUGCAAGUAAGAAAUGUAUAACAAAGAAAUGGUCCUCGCAAGACAUACCGACUUUGUCAUUAUGGUGGGAAAUUACGUUAGAGAUAUAUAGGAUGGAGGAAGUAACAGCUCAUGUUAAUGACAGGAUGGCCUGGUUCCAUCUGUGCUGGGAUAAGUGGGUCCAUUAUGUUAAUACCUAUAAACCGAAUUUUCUCUUUAAAGCUUGAAACCACCAAUUUAGUUAAUUGUUUACUCCCGACAGAGCUUUCUCCUUUUAUUUUAUAUAUAUAUUUUUUUUUUCCUUUUUUUUUUUUUUUUUUUUUUUUCUUUCUUUUUCUUUCUAUCUGUCUUUCUUCUCGUUUUGUUUCGUUUUUCUCUUGUAAACUGUGUUAAUUAAUGCCUGUAAUCAUCUUUAUGAGGUAAUAUUGUAGAAAUAAAGAAUAUAAAAAAAAAAAAAAAAAAAAAGGAAAAGUAGGUGAGCUGUGAAUAAUAUUUAAGCUCCUGAAACUCAGGAUUUUUAUUUUUUUAAGUAAGUAACAACUGUGUUACAUCUUCCAGUUAAUAAAGGAAGCUUAGUUGGGCCAGACAGGAAUAUAAACUCAUUACAAAUAGUUAGGAGAAAAUUAAAAAUAGUUUAGGUCUCAGGGCUGCUAUUUCUCUCACCCAAAACACCCUUUCACGUGAAAUACAUCAGCUCUAAACUUGUGCUGUCUAUAAAAAAAAAAAAAUUCCAUGUGAUGACGUUUUCAGCUAAGUUUCUUCCUGAACAGUAAUGGCGGCGCACUGCUGAAAACGUGGUUUGUGACUUUGGCAUUCCUUUAGUUUUUAAAGUAGCCUGUGGCAUUAACAGAAAACAAUAACAUACUCAUAAAACAAAAUACAGUCAGCUGAUCUAGAAAGCACAAGAAUGGCUGCCGAGUCAUCUGCGUUGUUCCGCUGGUUCUUGUGGUUUUUCAGCAUUGUCAUGCUUGUCUCUGCAGGUGAGCGUUAUUUCUUAAACAUUCACAUUUGGUUUAUAGAAGUAGUAGUAUCCGCC